RNAcentral lists this unclassified non-coding RNA (4311 nucleotides) under Daphnia magna. Its description in RNAcentral is "myosin-IIIa, transcript variant X3". Lineage: Eukaryota; Metazoa; Arthropoda; Branchiopoda; Diplostraca; Daphniidae. The record is from RNAcentral.
UUUGAAUCAGUCGCCCAUCAGCCGUUGGCUUGGAAAGUCGCUCACCGUUUUGCUCUUCUCUCCCUGUGGCAUUUUUUGUUUUGGUUUUGUUUGUUUACCUUAUCAUCCGUCAAAAGAGAGGAAGACCUGAAGCCUCAAAAAAAAAAAAAAAAACUGUCAGGAAAAGCCGUGCAAGUGUUUGGUGUCCAUCGUUAUGUAACAUUUGACGGAAUUUCCUCAUCUCCUCAAAAUCGAUAAGGAAUAAUAAGAACUUGAAACGAUUGAGCAACCUCCCGCUGGCCUGUUAACCAUGUCCUACUUGGGACUGAGUGAACACAUCGACUUCGAGUCUCUGCCUAAUCCCUCGGGCAGGAUCCGUUUGGACGAAGUCAUCGGCGAGGGAACCUAUGGCGAAGUCUUCCGAGCUUUCGAUCUCGAAAUGGGUCAGUCCGUGGCUGUCAAAGUCAUGGAGCAAAUAGCCGAUAAUAUCGAAGAAAUCGAAGAAGAAUUUCUUGUUCUCCGAGAUCUCUGCCUCCAUCCUAAUAUUCCGGCUUUUCACGGUCUCUACCUGAAGAAACAUCCAUCCAAACGAGAGGAAGACCAGCUCUGGUUCGUCAUGGAGCUGUGCAGUGGCGGUUCCGUCACCGACUUGGUUCACGGCCUGAAGCGCUAUAAUCGCCGGCUGACUGAAGAGCAGAUUGCCUACAUUCUCCGUGAAACCAUCGAAGGUUUAGUUUACCUCCAUAGGAACCACUGCAUGCAUCGGGACAUUAAAGGUCACAACAUACUUUUGACGGAUGAGGCUGGCGUGAAGCUGAUCGACUAUGGCGUUUCGUCUCAUACCGAUGCUACGUUGGAUCGUAAAAACACGUCGGUUGGAACGCCCUAUUGGAUGGCCCCAGAGGUGAUUGCAUGCGAACAACAGCUGGACUAUUCUUACGAUAUGCGCUGCGAUGUCUGGUCUUUGGGUAUCACCGCUAUCGAACUGGCUGAUGGAGACCCCCCGCUAUCUGAUCUCCAUCCGAUGAGGGCCCUCUUUCAGAUUCCUCGGAAUCCACCACCGACUUUAUGUAAGCCGGGAGACUGGAGCGCUGCGUUCAAUGAUUUUAUCGCCGUUUGCCUGGUGAAAGAUUUCGAACAGAGGCCAUUCUCCCGCGCUUUGCUAGAUCAUCCAUUCCUUAGUCAAGUGCCACCCAAUCCCGAUUCGAUUCGAUAUCCUUUAAUGAGAGAAGUACAAAGGCAAAUGGGAGCUAAAAACAAAAGAAGAGCUCCGGAACCGACAACUAAACAAGGCAAGUUGAAAGCGGACCGCAAGGCGAAAUUGCAGCGCAUCUACCUGGACGAUUUGGCUUCGUUGGAAAACUUUUCCAUUGAAAGUAUUGUAGACCAGCUGGAGCAGCGCUACAGGAACAAUGUCAUCUACACGUACAUUGGGGACAUUCUAGUCGCAGUCAACCCUUUCGCUGAAUUAAACAUUUAUACCGACAGGGAGGUUUACAUGUACAGGAAUCGAGCACGAUCAGAUAAUCCUCCUCACGUUUUCGCUAUGGCCGAUGCUGCUUAUCACGCCAUGCUGCACCAGCGCCGAUCACAGUGUAUCGUCAUUAGCGGAGAAAGCGGAGCAGGCAAAACGGUCACGGCCAAUUUUCUCCUCAAACAACUCGUCACCUUGGGCAAGGCUCCUAAUCGGGACCUGGAGGAAAAAAUACUCAUGAUGAACCCAAUCAUGGAGGCAUUUGGCAAUGCGAGGACGGGCAUUAACGACAAUUCUUCGCGUUUCGGUAAAUACUUGGACGUCACGUUCACAAGUGCCGGUAUGGUUUCCGGUGCCCGGCUGUCGGUCUAUCUCCUGGAACAUUCGCGUGUCGUCCAGCAAGCAGCAAAUGAGAAGAACUUUCACAUUUUCUAUUACCUUUGUGACGGACUGGCUGCUGAGAACAAACUGGGCGAUUACUUCCUCGAUAGUGGAAGGAGAUCGCAUCGUUAUGUCACUCUUCCUCCGCUGACUUCCCUCGAGCGACAGAUCAACGCGGAAAAGUAUCAAUUAGUACGUAAAGGAUUCGACCAACUGGGUUUCGCUAGCGACGAAUUAGACGCCAUCUACUCCGUCAUGGCGGCUGUGAUUCAUAUUGGCGACCUGGAUAUCGUCCCUGCCGGCCCCGGCAAAGACAACACGGAUCGAUGCAAAAUUGCAAAUCCGGCUCAGACUAAAAUUGUGGCUAAACUGCUGGGAGUCGAACCGGAGGCGGUGGAGGAAGCUCUGACAUCAGUGAGUGUAGUGACCCGUGGCGAAACGAUCACGCGUCACAACGGACUGGACGCAGCCUGCGCCACACGUGAGGCCAUGGCUAAAGGACUUUAUUCACGACUAUUCGACUGGGUCGUUCAGCAAAUCAACCGGCACUUAUCCUUCGGGCGUCUCGUCUACGAUUCCAACAUCGAUGUUCAUUUGAAUAGUGGGGAGCCAUUGUCCAUUGGCCUGUUGGACAUUUUCGGGUUCGAGAAUCACUUGGGUCCGGGAGGACGCAAUUCCUUCGAGCAACUCUGCAUCAAUAUCGCCAACGAGCAGAUCCAGUAUUUCUUUAAUCAGCAUGUCUUCACUUGGGAGCAACAGGAAUAUAUGGCCGAGGGAAUCAACGUUGAAGUGGUCGAGUACACCGACAACCGCCCAGUUUUGGACAUGUUUCUGGCCAAGCCGCUGGGUUUGCUGGCACUUCUCGAUGAGGAAAGCCGUUUCCCUGGAGCAUCAGACAUUUCUCUUAUAGAAAAAUUCCAAAAGAACAUAACGUCCGACUAUUACAUCCGUCAUAAAGCCCACGGUUUGGACUUUACGGUCCAACACUACGCAGGCCGCGUCAGUUACGAGGCCACGUCCUUUUUGGAGAAAAAUCGUAACUUCCUGCCACACGAAGUGGUUCAGUUGUUACGCAACAGUCAGAAUCCCACCGUUCAGUUCCUCUUUAAUUGCCCGCUCACCAAAACGGGCAAUCUUUAUUCCAAGUCGCCCUUUGGAUCACCAUCAAGCGGCCGUAAACUGAUCACGCCGACACCGGAAUUGAAAGGUCGUGGCAAUAACAAGAACGAUGGCAAGACGGUCGUGUUCAACAGUAUGGUCGCUCCUGGUACCAUAUUAGCCAAAGACCUUGCGUCACAGACGAGGGCUCAACAGACCGUGAGCACCUAUUUCCGUCACUCUCUGAUGGAACUCUUGCAAAAAAUGAUUGGCUGUUCAUCAGUUGGUUCUGAUGCACGAUCUCCAGGUGUCAUAGGAGAGCCGCAUUUCAUCCGUUGCAUCAAACCGAAUGAUACUCGCCGGGCUGGCUAUGUCGACCGGACCAAAAUAGCCCAACAGUUGCGUUACACGGGCGUCCUAGAGACCGUCCGUAUCCGCAAACAAGGCUUCUCUCAUCGACUGAAUUUUGUUGAUUUCCUCAAAAGAUAUUGCUUUUUGGCAUUUGAUUUCGAAGAACGAGUGGUUGCAGAUCGUGAAACUUGUCAAAAGUUACUAGUCCGCUUGAAACUUGACGGCUGGGCUGUUGGGAAAACGAAAGUGUUCCUCAAGUACUACCACGUCGAGUAUCUGUCUAAAGUCUAUGAUCAACAAAUUAGACGCAUCAUCCAAGUCCAGUCUUGCGUCCGCCGCUGGUUAGCCAAACUGAGACUUGCCCGGCACAACAAGAAAGUCGGUGUAAUGACGCCGUUCACUGAAGCUGAAGAAAUCAGAACUUCUCAAGAAAUGAAGCAAAUGGCUGGAAAGGCUCAACAGGUCGAUCCUAAUGAAGCUGCCACCGUCAUUCAAAAAUCCUAUCGAGGAUAUAAGGUACGAGUCAAGUACGGAGACGAACUCAUGGAACGUUUCCAGGAGAAUUCCACUUUGCAACGAAAAUAUGGCAGACCUCAAUAUCCGCAAGAUGCCACUCAAGAAGUGCUUUCUAGUCCGUCGGCGGCUACACUCGACGAAAAGACUAAGAACUCCAUUCGUCGUCGUCGACAAGAAAUGGUAGCUUUUGCAGCUCAGCAUUUCGUCCAGUCAACUGGUUCCUCCGCCAGCAAACUACGUCCGUCCCAAUGGCUUCAAAAUUAUGCCGGCCAUGUUGGCUCAACAGAUGUUGCUUCAAACUCCUUACAAGUCCGGCAACAAUCUCGACUCCAAAGCUUUCCUCUAUCCGUUGGGAAGCAACCCUAUUAGCGAUGAUGAAGAUUUCGAUGAAAAUGUGUCAUGGGAUUCUCCGCUGACGCGGGCAAUGAAAGGCAAACAUGACAGGGAGAAGAAGAUCGAUGUCAACCAAGAAAUGCGUGAUCAAAUAGGAGAAGGUGGUUUGAUGUCGCAGA